This 28347-nucleotide long non-coding RNA is filed under the name Triticum aestivum (bread wheat). RNAcentral describes it as "long non-coding RNA (TAES_LNC006234)". The stretch from base 8053 to 8187 matches the Rfam family "MIR1120/MIR1122 microRNA precursor family". Lineage: Eukaryota; Viridiplantae; Streptophyta; Magnoliopsida; Poales; Poaceae. The record is from RNAcentral.
CAAAAGGCACAAUUCGGAGUACCUCAAGGAUAAUAGGUGCAUAAAAUUCAGUCACAAACACAUAUAAUCCUCACAUUACAUAAAACUCAGUCCUGGAACAUAGCCAGACUAGUAUUAAACAGCUAAAUUUGACCAAACACAGGUAAGGCAACUUCCACAGCCACAACCGCAUAACAAAUCAGGAAUCACUGGGACAAUGCCAUCAUCCCUCAGAGUUUCGCUGCCUGGAUGUCAGAUGAUGCUUCCCCUCCCUCCAAGGCGCCUACUUGGAUCGCUGCCUCAUCUUUCGGCGCUUCCUCUUGAGCCUCCUCAUCCUCUUCUUCUUCCACUGCACAUUAAGACGAAAUGCAGAUCAUCAGUACAAAUUGCAUAGUGCUAGAUGCGCAGGAACAUGAGAUAAUUCCACAUGAAACGAGAAAGUAGUAUGUACUUCAGAAUCAGAAGAUUGAGUGUUUCAUUGGAUAUCAUCACGUGAUUUUCAGAAACACGGACCAAUUGUCCUUCAUCAUUUCCCAAACUGCCAAUUUGGCAUUGCAAAAAGAGAACUAUUCUAAGAAGGUCGUAGCUAUCUACAAACAGGUUAGGCAAAGCAAAGUAGAUCUGCAGUCAGUUUGACAUUCAGAAUGAGUAGGAGGAUUUUAUCAUCAAAUAGAUCAGACGCCAAUUGUCUUCCUCAUCAUGCCAACCGACGCAAUUAUACAAAAUAAAAACAGUGGAAAAUGAGCUAAAGAAAUGGAUAAGCAAACGUUGUUCUCUCAGACAAAUGCCUCGAUUGUCCACACGGUGUAAUAGAAUGGAUUACAUCAGACUCGUCAUCUGUUUUCAUCAUCACAGAGAACAAUGGACAAACGAAAACAGCAAAAAAAAAACAUAAAUCUGGCUAACAUAACUAGAGGCAGUAAUUAGAUCUCAUAGAGCAAGCAAAUCUGGUCGAAAUAGCAGCGGUUCUCUCAGACAAAUUUGCCUCACUUUUGUCCCCACGGUUGAAUGGAAUGGAUUGGAUCGGACAUCUAAUCAGUGUUGAUCAUCACAGAGAACCACUAAUUACGCAAGCGAGCGGUAGCAACGGCGAGAACAAACCCUCGCUAAACACUAGCACAUGUCCAGAUCUACCUCGGUCGCGGAGCAGCUAACAACAGGGAAGGGAGAUGACGGGCAGUACGAACCUUGGCCCUCAUCGCGGCGGCGGAGUCGGUCUCGCUCUCCUGUUCGCGGCGGCGGCGGCGGCGGCGGUGUGUGGACGAACUUAGAUUGUUGACGGCGGGGGCUCUCGCCUCGUACUUAUACGGGCUGGGUGCUGAAGGGGGGGGGAAACCCUAGCGGGGUUGGACGGGUGGACGGCUCGGAUCAGCCAGUGAACGGCGUUCUGAUCCGAUUAGUAAUCUGGUUUGUGGGCCUGUUGGGCCUCCAAACAACGCCUAGGCCCACGCUAACAUUUGACUGGACUUGAUUUCCUGAAGGGGGGAAAAAGAAACUUGACCAGUCUUUACUUUUAUUCUCUUUAUUUUAUAUUACUUUAAAAAGAGUAGUGUUCCUUUUUCUGCCAGACGGAGUGAUUCGUCCAACAUUUUUUUAUAAUCACUAGCAAAAGGCCCGUGUGUUACAACGGGCCAUUGAUAUUUUAGUAUUUCAACACUGAUUGUGCACAUCAAACUGAAAUAUCUCCUUCUAUUGUUAAUUGCUAGUGAAAUAAUCGAGAGGAGAUAAUAUGCCUGAAUAGUGAAGUUGUGAGCAUAGCUUAUUUCUCCUUCUCCUUGACUCAUAUGCAUCAUUUGCUUGGGGGGCAAGCUUGUAGCAGAGUUAAACCCAAAAAAAAGUUGAAUACAAAUCAAGGGAUAUAGCAGCAUUCAACUAAAUUAGUAGUGGAGUAGAGAAGCCCUGGAGCAUAUAAAGUAAAUGAUACCUCUGACAAAGCAGGUUUAAGAAGUGGAUAGUAAGUUUGAAAACAUGAACAAUGCAUAGCAAGCUUUCGUACAUACAAAUUCCCUUGUAUUGAUGAAAACAUAAAUUCACCUAUAAAAAACUAACAAAUUUAGUUUGUAUAUAUACUCUUAGUACACAGUCGAGUCAACACAAACAAUUUGCCUAUGAAAGGAUCAAGUUGGAAUUCCAUUGCUCGAUGGGUGGACGGCUCGGAUCAGCCAGUGGACGGUGUUCUGAUCCGAUUAGUAAUCUGGUUUGUGGGCAUGUUGGGCCUCCAAACAACGCCUAGGCCCAUGCUAACAUUUGACUGGACUUGAUUUCCUGAAGGGGGAAAAAGAAACUUGACCAGUCUUUACUUUUAUUCUCUUUAUUUUAUUACUUAAAAAAGGGAAACGUUUCCUGCGGCGUGCCGGCGGAACGCUUGGCCAGUCGCGUACGCUUCGUUCGAUCGAAAGCGAUCAUGCGGCCCACGUGUGGCCUCACCCCCUCGGCCCCACAUGCUCCCUCUUCCUUAUCCCCAUAUGUUUUCUUUUCCUUAUCCCCUCAAGCACCACUCAUUUUUCUUGCUUAUCCCUCCAUGCCCACCAUUCAUCCCAUGCACCUCUCUCUCCCCCUGGCCUACCUUCAAUCAAUAGCUUGCCGGCGAUGGAAGACGUGUGUGGCGAGCUGGCAGUCCGGGGCUGCACACAUGAAGCCGCGGAGGUGCGUGAGCACGACUCUCGGCGAGCGAAGAGGCGCGACGCCAAAGCUACAUCGGCAACUUGGUAUUUCCACUUUGCAACCUGAUACGACGAGUGGAGGGUGGUUUGCUGCAACCAGUGGCCCCUACUACUACGACCAACGAGGUGGCUGUGCCGUGAAGAUGGACGACGGAUGCGGCGAUUUUUGUGCUGAAACCCACGAUAGCCUCUGCUACAACCGGCCAGCCAUUUUGCUGGAACCAGCAUCGGUAAUUGCUGCCAUCAGUCACGCGAUAUGCUGGAACCAAACGCGCACUCGUCGCCGGCGUUUUUUUUCUUUUGCUAGAGUUGGGUGUUUGAUUUUGCUGGAAGUAGCUAUCCUUUUUGCUACAAAUCGACCACACGAGUUCUCCCUGUUUUGUUGUUUCUGCUGUAUCCAAUGUCUUGUUUUGCUGGAAACAACCAUCUUUUUUGGUACAAAUCGACAACAGGAAUUCUACGUGUUUAGUUGUUUUUCUGCUGCAUCCGAUGUUUCGUUUUGCUGGAACCUAGUAUUUUUUUAUUCAACCGAUCAAUGAAGGAUUGUUGCUUUCAGAUCUUUUUGCUAGAUACUUCAGUGCAAACCGACGCCCACGGCGAGCCGAAACCAGAGCAUGGUGAUGAGCUGGAACCGGCGAGCUUGCUUUGCUGCAAUGAGCCGCAAGCUACUAUGAUCAGCAGGGCGAAGAGCUGGAACGGGCGUCCAUUUUUGCUGGGAUGGGCGCCCAAAUUUGCUGGAACAGGAGUCCCGGGUUGCUGCAUCGUUCGCCGCACAGGGGAGCUACGAUGUUGGCGAGCUGGAACCGGCGCCCAAUUUUGCUGGAGCCGGCAUCUCGACAUGCUGGAACCGUGUGAAGGCAGGCGGCGGCUGAAUGGCUGAUUCGACGCUGAUGGUGUUUUGCUGCGACCAGUGAUGGAAAAGCUUCAACCAUCGGGCGAGUUGUCGAUGGCGUGAGGGGUGACGCCGGGGUGCUGCGGCCGACAACACGGUCGGUGCUGCGCGUUCUACUACAACGAGGAGUCGACCACUAGUUGUUGCAUCCGGCCACGUUGACGCUGCCACCAGCUACAACGAGAAGAUGCCAUGGCGAGCUUCGCCGCCGACGGCCGGCAGCGAAGGUACUCGUGCGGGACGGUGAGCAGAAUUGCGCGCGGCUGCGGCCGCCCGCAAGGGAGAGCCGAUCUGGGCCUUCGUAGACUCUCGUGACAAACGAAACAGCAAGGAGGGACCGGCAGAUGGAGCGGUUAAGGUCACUUCAAUCGAGCGUUGCAUGAGGAACCGGCCGAAAUUUUGGGCCGGUCCGCCGGCGCCUAGUGCUGGCCCUUAAAAAAAAGUAGCGUUCCUUUUUCUGCCAGACGGAGUGAUUUGUCCAACAUGUUUUUCUUGGGAACCGCCUUAAUCAUCUCAUCUUUUUGGUUCAAAAAAAUCGUCUCAUCUUUUAUUGACUUAUCAAAUAAAUUAUAUUUUCUUUCAUAAGUCAAAAUAAGUGAUUACAAAAUAAAAUCAUGGGUAAGAUUUGUUAAGUAUUUUUUUACACAAUCACAUAACAUAAAGAUGUAAAUUAUGGGAUAAUGUAUUGUAAUAUAAUAUAUAAUAUUUAUGCCCCAUAGCGACACGGGCAAAUAUCUAGUUCUGCUAGCAAAAAGACUAAUUACAAAACAAUAAAACUGAGCUAGCUACACGCCACCACAGCGAUUCACCGCUUUUGGCCGUCCGAUCAUUUGUUAGACGCCCCAGAUCUUCCAAUUGUCCACUGGCGGUCGCUUGGUCAUUUUCACCGUGCCUCACCCAAUGUAAAAGGGCUGCUGCUCCGGAAAGCAACCUGUGGGUCAUGUAGUUAAUUGGGCCCAGAAGCAGCCCAAUUGGUUGUGUACGUCAGCCCAUGCUAGGUUUCCUUUCCACAUCGACAGAGAAAAGAAAAGAACAAUUCAUCCUUCUCCUCUUGUUCAUACCCACGGUGCAGGGUGUCUAAUUUCUCAUGUUCCUUUCGUGCUAGGAAGCUCGUGGGGAUUGACCAACUGUCAGUUUGUUGGAGUUUGAUCUGUCCCGAUGGGCGACAAACAUAUAGCUGACUGAAGGCACGAGUAUGGCCUAUGGACUAAAGGAUUUGUUCCUUUCCCUCGGUGGCAACAUCCUAUAUGGCAGUACCUUUUCGCCUCCUUUUACCAGCCGUAUAAUUCAGUGAGUCGUUAGUAACUGUUUUGAUUGGUUGUUAGUAUUCCGGCACUGCCUUAUAUAUGGAUAUUCAUUGUUGAUAUGUGUUACAUGGUGUGAUCCCGAUCGACUCCAAUAUGGACACCCAGGCACCACACCCAGGCUCAUGCAAAUGCUCAAAACAGCCCGGUAACGCCACCACUUGUUGAUCAAAACGUUGUCCUUCUGAGUACUGAUUAGGAUUACAUGCAACCUUCUUGCUGGAAAUACGCUUCUGAAAAAAGAUGCUAAGCUGGCCUGAUAAGAUUGGCAUUAGGCUUUUGCCGUAGGAUCCUGGAACUCUGAAUUCUAGGAACAGCACCUACCAGGUUACCUGAUGUAAUCCGUAUCCUUGCAUGAGGUUUGGAGUACGUGGUUUUUCAAUUUUUGUUGGACAGUUUUAGUCGAGUUAGGUGUGUUCAAGGAUUAGCUUUGGUUUUCCCAUUUUACUCGCUAAGAAAGGUAACUGAAAUUUUGUUUCUGCUCAAUUUCAUUAGGUUGCAAGAAAAUGACUGGUUGAAAUUGCUUUCCUAAACAAAGUAAUAGAUGUACAAUAUUGAUCAACAAAUGGGCAACAAGUCAACAACGACCCAGUAGAAAUUUUAUUGUGCUGAAUAGGGCCAAGUAUAUUAUCAAACCAUUGUUGGUAAGAGGAUAAUUUACUAUGAUUCAGUUGGCAAAGAGGCUCUGAUCUGCAGUUUAAAUGACGAAGAAAUACUGGAACAUGGGGAAGAGAAGCAUGUUUCACAAAAGAAGAAGAUCCGCUAAUAUGGUAAUAAUACAUCCUAGUUAAAUAGAUUGGUUUUUCUGUAUUACGUGCUCUUCUGUCGUGAACUGCAAUUGAUUACCACAACAUGCUAUGUUUUCAUCCGUUCAAGUCUGAAGAAUGGGUACUAUCUAUCAGUCUAUAUGUUUGAAUUUUUUUUCUAAUAUCUCUACUCCUAAUGAAGCAGUUGGUAGCCUGGUACUCCGGUUUUAUUUUCGUCCGGUUUUAUUUCGUCCCACCUCCCACCACUCCGUACUACUGGUUUUUUAUCUAUCUACAAAUCUCCCCUCCCACUGGUUUAAGCCGGUUAUCAAUUUUUGGUAAUGCAAUAAAAGUCAUACGGGAAUAAAUCAUAUCACGGUCGGCAGUUAAUCUCAAACCUGCCAAGAGAUUUGGUAACAGAAUAAAUUCAAAAGGAAGGGUGGGGGAAUGUUCCUAUACAUAAGGAUGGUAAUCUCCAUCGCAUACCAUUUACUCCAGAAUCAAUCGCAUUAAUAAUCUCCAUCGCAUAAAUAAUUACUCCAAAAUCAAUCACAAUCAUAAUCUACAUCGCAUAAUUAACUUCUUCCUAUGACCACCUCGCUCCACCAAUCCCACCUGCCGUUUUCUACCAUCACGAUCGAUUUUCUCGCGUCCUCUCCUACACGCACAAAAAUAUAGGCCCAGCCUCGACCGUGGGCUGGGACUCAUCCGUCGCGCACCGCCUGCUCUGCAACGACGCCCAACGCAACCUCUUCUUUGAUGCCCCCGCGCACCCCUCGCCGCCGCCACCAACGCCCUGCGCGUUCGCCUCUACGGCCUUGAUGAUUGCACCCGCUUUCGUGACGUCCUCGCGCUCAAGCGCCGCCGGCGCAUCCACGCCUGCGUCAGCCAUGCCGAGGAGGUUGAGGAGCCCCUCGAGCCGGCCCUUGCCCUCGCCUGCGUCAACGACCCCGCCCAUCUUGGCGGGGGCGAUUCCCCCAUCGCCCGACUCAUCUCCGACGAGUAUGGCAUCGGUGGGUACGCCGCGUCGUUCGUAUGCUUGGCAGGUUCCAGAACACCCCGCGACGUGUAUGAGGCUGCUAAGCUUGACCAUGGCGAGGGGCUCGUGCUCGAGCUCGACGAGACGCAAUUCGAUCUCGGAACCAACUACGAGCUGGAUGGUGAGACUGCAGAGCAGGCAGGGGGCGCGACGAAGAUGGAAGUGGCGGCAGUUCAAGCUUGUCGCUGCCGAAGACCCUAGAGAGGUGCGUGAAGAGACCUGGUUAGUUUUGUUGGGCCCCACUGGUAGAUGCUCCAUGUCUCCUCCUCUGGUUCCUUGUGCAUUAUUGGGUUGUCUUAAUUUUCAGUCAGGAACACGUAGCCGUGAAUUUUUUUGAUUAAUAUUGAUGUCAUCGUUACAUAUUGGUACCGGGUAGAUUUGAUGUAUUAUUGUUAAGCUCUCAAGACCAGGCCUGGUUUUACAGAUGUUUAGCGCACCGGUUCCUGUUCAUUUACAACACAGCCAUGCGAUCUAUUAAGUGAUGUUUCUCUGAAUUUAUGACAGGUAAACUGCGGUAAUAACAAAUCAGAUGUCAUCUCUCAUCUUGCCGAUUCAACCUUGGAAGAUAUGGUAGAGACGAGAGGCGGUUUGGUCCAUCUGGUGGAAGGGGGAGUGGAGAUAGUAGGAGUGGAAAGCAACUCAGUCCAUCCUGGCGGAAGGGAUAUAUAUAGGCUGACAUGUCAUCGGUGCUGGGCACCACAGGCAAGUGCUGUUUAGUUGAGUCCCAAUCACGAAUUAGAAAAAAAUUCUUUGGGUUCUUGGAUAGAUGCUUAUGGUUUGUUGCGUCAUUUUUCAGGUUCAAUAUGCUGGCUGGCGCCGAGCCUCACUACUGAGUUGAAGAACUACUUGCAACGGUUGCCAAAAGUUGUGUUAAAAAAAUAGGCCCACCUUCAUAAGGAUGAUGUAAAUUGCAGCCAUACUCAGGUUUAUUCUUUGUUCCCUGCAUAUUUUUAUUUAACCACGUUAUGUUUUAGCCACUAGAUGGAAAAUAGAAAAAGGAAACGGAGAGAAUCACUUAUUUUCGUGAUAUGAUAUUUAUUUAAUAGUGAUUGCUAUUUGUUUUGAAUAUUUAAGCAUAAGGAUACCACAAUUAAAUUAUGGUUACAACACGAAAGUUGUAGAGUAGUUAAUCUCUAUCUCUACUCCUAAAGGGGGAGUUGGUAGCCCGGUGCGCAGGUUUAUUUUCGCCUCACCGAUUUAUUCUCCCUCACCUCCCAGCAUCCCCUCCACGCUGGGUUUUCUCCGUCCGACUAAAAACCAAAUCAAUUUGCAUGAUCCUCCUUGUUUGUUUUUCGGCUAAUGUCCUCCUAUCCUAGAGCAUGUUCAUCUGACUAAUCUUCUUAGUUAAUGCCCUCCUUGCCUGGAUCAUGUUCAUCCGAUUGACAAAGGCUUGGCCAUCUUGUAAUAGUAGAUGGUGAAGUGGAUAUAUAUACUACUCCCUCCGUCCGAAAAUACUUGUCAUCAAAAUGAAUAUAAAGGGAUGUAUCUAGAACUAAAAUAUGUUUAGAUACAUCUCUUUUUAUCCAUUUUGAUAACAAGUAUUUCCGGACAGAGGGAGUGCUUCAGUUUGCAUGAGAACAACCGCUUAUAUGUGUGCCUCAAUAGUAAAGUAGGAUUGCUUGGAUUAUUUUCUGUAGUAUUUUUUCCAGUUUUAAAUGUUUAGUUUCUUAACUUAUUAUGAGGCUUGCAUCGAUCAAAGAAAUCAUGCUCCCUUGGCUUAAUCAAAUGUACUUAUGUUUGCUAAUUUAUUUUUAGUGUGUGUUUCCUCCUACUAUCUUAUUAUUCUAUAGCUAACUAUAUUUUGGAAUCUGGUGGGUGCAAAGAAAAUGGCAGUUUCUAGAUUUCUGUAGUAUUUCUGGGUAACAACAGGUUCCAAAGUGACGGGCAUUGCUAAAUCAGAUAACAUACUAUUCAAAAAGAGAACACAUUCAUCCCUUCAUUUUAGAGAUUCAAUAAAGCAAGCAAAACUUGGAAUCCAAGUCAGAAUACCAACUAUUGUACUACUGAAUGCACAUUUAUUUGCCGACAUGAAACUAUCUAUCACAUGUAGGUGUGUUUGCUCCUCGGAGCAUAGCAAAAUGAUAUGCUCUUACAUAAACAUUAUCUUGCUUACAGUGUUAAUUCAAAGCCUUAAUUCAAGGUCGGAUCUUGCUUACAAUGUCAAUAUAAUCGCUUUUAAUCUCUUUCAAGAUUAAUAAACUGCACAUGCAUGGCACGCAAAUAGGACAAACUUGACUAGAUCUACACAUAUAUUUUUAUCACUUCUAAUAUCUCAUCGACUGUUUACAUGCCAUAUUGCAUACCAAGAAUACAAGAGUGCUGACUUUAUUUUAUUUUAUUUUAUUUUAUUUUAUUUUAUUUCUGAAAUAGUUCCCAAUUAGGCUUACAAUUAUUUUAUAUUAGUGUUACUUCCUUUGUCAAGCUUAUGAAGAAUGUAUUUCCUUGAACAGUAUUUCAUCCAUUUGGAUUUAGGUGACAUGUGUGGUGGCACGAGAAAAUGGAAGGCCCUAAGCUGAAGGAGAGCAUCAAUUGACAUGAGUGAUAAGCAAUAUCUAUUAGAAACACAUACUAUCAGGCUAAUGCAAACCACUUGGGUAUGAAGUAUACUUACCACAACUUUCUAGGUGUUGAUCAACUUGUGUUUUCUUGUUAGUAAAAGAAACAUGUUGUUUUUUUGUGGUUCAUGGAUUCAUGCUCAAUGUUGAAUUAUUAUCUGAUCUGCAGAAGCAUGUCUUACUGCUGCUCAAGGUCACAUGAUUUAUAAUUUAUAACUACAAUUAUUUAAAUCAGUAUCUUGCACGAAGUCCUGACAUCUGGCUUUAUCAAAGAUUCCACUAUGUUUAUUUCUCCAUCAUAUCGCACAAUGAAUAAUAACAGUAGAUAGAUAUCCCCUUUUUAUGCAAUGAAUUUCAUGAAAUAAAACAGCGUCCAUCACCGUCUCUGAUGUAAUCUUAAGUGCACAUGCAUGGCUUAAUGUCACUGCUAUCUCGUAGUUUCACAUGCUAUUCAAGUUUACGGCAUACAGUACUUAACAUAUAAGUUGUGUCAUAGUAUUAGUGUCAUCUUUGGCUGCUUCCUUUCUUGAAUUUUCCGAUGACAGUGUACAUGCCUUAACAUAUUCGAAGUUGUUGAUUUUUUUGUUGCAAAUAUAAUAUUUAGUAAUUUAACGUGAGCCCUUGCAGGUCCAAUUAAAGCUAUUUGACCAGAAGCUAGGUGAUAUGUGCUCAAAAGAAUCUACCCUGUUAUGCACCAGUUUUUUGCCUUAACAUUGUUUCUGCAAUUACACUAUAUAUCUUGUAUUAACUGGAUUUUUAAGAUGACGAUUAAGGAAUUCAUCUACAAUUAGGAACUUACUUCGCGACAAGGAAGGUCCAGUGGUUGGGCAACAACAUGUGGAAGGAUAAUUACUGGAUACAUUUUUUUAGCGAACAACAGCGGAGCGAUUUGAUGUCUCAAAACAUGUAAGCUGACUUGCCCUCCAUGGAAUGGAAUGACUACAAAAACUUUUGUCAUUUCAUCUAAGAAUAUUUUAAAUUAGUUAAUAAAUCAUACAGACUUGAUAUUUUCUUGGUCUCAUGCAACUAUGUGUGGUUUCUUACUUUACUCCACAAUCAUCUGUGGCAAUUAUGAGGUAUUUUUCGCCAUUCGUAUUUAUUCCUUAAUUUUACUAUGAAUAUAUGAGAGUACACACCAAGGGGUUCGCAAAAAGUACAAAAAAACUAGGAGACAAGCACGAGUCACCUUAUGAGGUGAUGAUGUAGGAGACACAAUGAGGUGAAAGAGACGUGAUGGACAUAGAAGAGUAAACCCACGAGGAUAAAGAGAUGUCAUGCACAUAGAAGGAGGAAGCGAGGACCUCGAUCCACAUUAUCAAAGACAUAGAUAAGAACAAGAGUAUCACACUUCCCACAUCGACCAACUAAUGACACAUGUUGCUAUUGGGGCAUAUCACCCUCCCUUGCAUUAUACAUAUUAAUAUUAAGAUGAAACACUUCGUUGAAUGCAUUUCUAUUAUAUUGUUCUAUGGCAACACCCGAGCAUUCUGCUAGAAAGGAUGCUCGGGUGUAGACAGAAUCAUAUAUUAUAUCAUUAUUAGUAUCAACAUGUUUCUAAAUGUUUUCAUACUCAGUAUAUGAUGUUAGAUUCAACAUGAGAUCUAAAGUUUUGUGUGAAGCCAAAUAUGCAGGUGUUAGCAAUACUGUUUGAUAGCUUGGGGGUACGAUGUGGCAAACGCGCAACGGCUGGCUAGCUGUGUUGGAGAGCAAGAGAUGUCCAGCGAGAAACAUCCCACUACAUGUUGGGGAAUGUAGUAAUUUCAAAAAAUUUCCUACGCACACGCAAGAUCAUGGUGAUGCAUAGCAACGAGAAGGGAGAGUGUUGUCUACGUACCCACGCAGACCGACUGCGGAAGCAUUGACACAACAUAGAGGAAGUAGUCGUACGUCUUCCCGAUCCGACCGAUCCAAGCACCGUUACUCCGGCACCUCCGAGUUCUUAGCACACGUACAGCUCGAUGACGAUCCCCGGGCUCCGAUCCAGCAAAGCGUCGGGGAAGAGUUCCGUCAGCACGACGGCGUGGUGAUGAUCUUGAUGUUCUACCGACGCAGGGCUUCGCCUAAGCACUACAACGAUAUGAUCGAGGUGGAAUAUGGUGGCAGGGGGCACCGCACACGGCUAAGAAAUGAUCUCAAGGAUCAACUUGUGUGUCUAGAGGUGCCCCCCUGCCCCUGUAUAUAAAGGAGCCAAGGAGGAGGGGCUGGCUGGCCAAGGAGGGUGCGCCAGGAGAGUCCUACUCCCUCUGGGAAUAGGAUUCCCCCCCAAUCCUAGUUGGAAUAGGAUUCCUUAAGGGGGGGAAAGGAGAGGGGGGGCCGGCCACCUCUUCUAGUCCUAAUAGGACUAGGGGAGGGGGGAGGCGCGCGGCCACCUUGGGCUGCCCCUUUCUUCUUUCCACUAAAGCCCAUUAAGGCCCAUAUAGCUCCCGGGGGGUUCCGGUAACCUCCCGGUACUCCGGUAAAAUCCUGAUUUCACCCGGAACACUUCCGAUAUCCAAACAUAGGCUUUCAAUAUAUCAAUCUUUAUGUCUCGACCAUUUCAAGACUCCUCGUCAUGUCCGUGAUCACAUUCGGGACUCCGAACUAACUUCGGUACAUCAAAAUGCAUAAACUCAUAAUAACUGUCAUCGUAACGUUAAGCGUGCGGACCCUACAGUUCGAGAAUAAUGUAGACAUGACUGAGACACAUCUCCAGUCAAUAACCAAUAGCGGGACCUGGAUGCCCAUAUUGGCUCCUACAUAUUCUACGAAGAUCUUUAUCGGUCAGACCGCAUAACAACAUACGUUGUUCCCUUUGUCAUCGAUAUGUUACUUGCCCGAGAUUCGAUCGUCGGUAUCCAAUACCUAGUUCAAUCUCGUUACCGGCAAGUCCCUUUACUCGUUCUGUAAUACAUCAUCCCGCAACUAACUCAUUAGUUGCAAUGCUUGCAAGGCUUAUGUGAUGUGCAUUACCGAGAGGGCCCAGAGAUACCUCUCCGACAAUCGGAGUGACAAAUCCUAAUCUCGAAAUACGCCAACCCAACAUCUACCUUUGGAGACACCUGUAGAGCUCCUUUAUAAUCACCCAUUUACGUUGUGACGUUUGGUAGCACAGAAAGUAUUCCUCCGGCAAACGGGAGUUGCAUAAUCUCAUAGUCAUAGGAACAUGUAUAAGUCAUGAAGAAAGCAAUAGCAACAUACUAAACGAUCGGGUGCUAAGCUAAUGGAAUGGGUCAUGUCAAUCAGAUCAUUCAACUAAUGAUGUGACCUCGUUAAUCAAAUAACAACUCUUUGUUCAUGGUUAGCAAACAUAACCAUCUUUGAUUAACGAGCUAGUCAAGUAGAGGCAUACUAGUGACACUCUGUUUGUCUAUGUAUUCACACAUGUAUUAUGUUUUCGGUUAAUACAAUUCUAGCAUGAAUAAUAAACAUUUAUCAUGAUAUAAGGAAAUAAAUAAUAACUUUAUUAUUGCCUCUAGGGCAUAUUUCCGUCAGUCUCCCACUUGCACUAGAGUCAAUAAUCUAGAUUACACUGUAAUGAUUCUAACACCCAUGGAGUCUUGGUGUUGAUCAUGUUUUGCUCGUGGAAGAGGCUUAGUCAACGAGUCUGCAACAUUCAGAUCUGUAUGUAUCUUGCAAAUCUCUAUGUCUCCCACCUGGACUAGAUUCCGGAUGGAAUUGAAGCGUCUCUUGAUGUGCUUGGUCCUUUUGUGAAAUCUGGAUUCCUUUGCCAAGGCAAUUGCACCAGUAUUGUCACAAAAGAUUUUCAUUGGACCCGAUGCACUAGGUAUGACACCUAGAUCGGAUAUGAACUCCUUCAUCCAGACUCCUUCGUUCGCUGCUUCCGAAGCAGCUAUGUACUCCGCUUCACAUGUAGAUCCCGCUAUGACGCUUUGUUUAGAACUGCACCAACUGACAGCUCCACCGUUUAAUGUAAACACGUAUCCGGUUUGCGAUUUAGAAUCGUCCGGAUUAGUGUCAAAGCUUGCAUCAACGUAACCUUUUACGGUGAGCUCUUUGUCACCUCCAUAUACGAUAAACAUAUCCUUAGUCCUUUUCAGGUAUUUCAGGAUGUUCUUGACCGCUGUCCAGUGAUCCACUCCUAGAUUACUUUGAUACCUUCCUCCUAGACUUAUAGCAAGGCACACAUCAGGUCUGGUACACAGCAUUGCAUACAUGAUAGAGCCUAUGGCUGAAGCAUAGGGAACAUCUUUCAUUUUCUCUCUAUCUUCUGCAGUGGUCGGGCAUUGAGUCUGACUCAACUUCACACCUUGUAACAUAGGCAAGAACCCUUUCUUUGCUUGAUCCAUUUUGAACUUCUUCAAAAUCUUGUCAAGGUAUGUGCUUUGUGAAAGUCCAAUUAAGCGUCUUGAUCUAUCUUUAUAGAUCUUUAUGCCUAAUAUGUAAGCAGCUUCACCGAGGUCUUUCAUUGAAAAACUCUUAUUCAAGUAUCCCUUUAUGCUAUCCAGAAAUUCUAUAUCAUUUCCAAUCAGUAAUAUGUCAUCCACAUAUAAUAUCAGAAAUGCUACAGAGCUCCCACCCACUUUCUUGUAAAUACAGGCUUCUCCGAAAGUCUGUAUAAAACCAAAUGCUUUGAUCACACUAUCAAAGCGUUUAUUCCAACUCCGAGAGGCUUGCACCAGUCCAUAAAUGGAUCGCUGGAGCUUGCACACUUUGUUAGCUCCUUUUGGAUUGACAAAACCUUCCAGUUGCAUCAUAUACAACUCUUCUUCCAGAAAUCCAUUCAGGAAUGCAGUUUUGACAUCCAUCUGCCAAAUUUCAUAAUCAUAAAAUGCGGCAAUUGCUAACAUGAUUCGGACAGACUUAAGCAUCGCUACGGGUGAGAAGGUCUCAUCGUAGUCAACCCCUUGAACUUGUCGAAAACCUUUUGCGACAAGUCGAGCUUUGUAGACAGUAACAUUACCAUCAGCGUCAGUCUUCUUCUUGAAGAUCCAUUUAUUCCCAAUUGCUUGCCGAUCAUCGGGCAAGUCAACCAAAGUCCAUACUUUAUUCUCAUACAUGGAUCCCAUCUCAGAUUUCAUGGCUUCAAGCCACUUUGCGGAAUCUGGGCUUACCAUCGCUUCUUCAUAGUUUGUAGGUUCAUCAUGAUCUAGCAGCAUGAUUUCCAGAACAGGAUUACCGUACCACUCUGGUGCGGAUCUCGCUCUGGUUUAUCUACGAGGUUCAGUAGUAUCUUGUCCUGAAGUUUCAUGAUCAUCAUCAUUAGCUUCCUCACUAAUUGGUAUAGGUGUCGCAGAAACAGUUUUCUGUGAUGUACUACUUUCCAAUAAGGGAGCAGGUACAGUUACCUCGUCAAGUUCUACUUUCCUCCCACUCACUUCUUUCGAGAGAAACUCUUUCUAUAGAAAGGAUCCAUUCUUAGCAACGAAUAUCUUGCCUUCGGAUCUGUGAUAGAAGGUGUACCCAACAGUCUCCUUUGGGUAUCCUAUGAAGACACAUUUCUCCAAUUUGGGUUCGAGCUUAUCAGGUUGAAGCUUUUUCACAUAAGCAUCGCAGCCCCAAACUUUAAGAAACGACAACUUUGGUUUCUUGCCAAACCACAGUUCAUAAGGCGUCGUCUCAACGGAUUUUGAUGGUGCCCUAUUUAACGUGAAUGCGGCCGUCUCUAAAGCAUAACCCCAAAACGAUAGUGGUAAAUCAGUAAGAGACAUCAUAGAUCGCACCAUAUCUAGUAAAGUACGAUUACGACGUUCGGACACACCAUUACGCUGUGGUGUUCCGGGUGGCAUGAGUUGCGAAACUAUUCCACAAUUUUUCAAAUGUACACCAAACUCGUAACUCAAAUAUUCUCCUCCACGAUCAGAUCGUAGAAACUUUAUUUUCUUGUUACGAUGAUUUUCAACUUCACUCUGAAAUUCUUUGAACUUUUCAAAUGUUUCAGACUUGUGUUUCAUCAAGUAGAUAUACCCAUAUCUGCUUAAAUCAUCUGUGAAGGUGAGAAAAUAACGAUAUCCGCCACGAGCCUCAAUAUUCAUCGGACCACAUACAUCGGUAUGUAUGAUUUCCAACAAAUCUGUUGCUCUCUCCAUAGUACCGGAGAACGGUGUUUUAGUCAUCUUGCCUAUGAGGCAUGGUUCGCAAGUACCAAGUGAUUCAUAAUCAAGUGGUUCCAAAAGUCCAUCAGUAUGGAGUUUCUUCAUGCGCUUUAUACCGAUAUGACCUAAAACGGCAGUGCCACAAAUAAGUUGCACUAUCAUUAUCAACUCUGCAUCUUUUGGCUUCAACAUUAUGAAUAUGUGUGUUACUACUAUCGAGAUUCAUCAAAAAUAGACCACUCUUCAAAGGUGCAUGACCAUAAAAGAUAUUACUCAUAUAAAUAGAACAACCAUUAUUCUUUGAUUUAAAUGAAUAACCGUCUCGCAUCAAACAAGAUCCAGAUAUAAUGUUCAUGCUCAAUGCUGGCACCAAAUAACAAUUAUUUAGGUCUAAUAUUAAUCCCGAAGGUAGAUGUAGAGGUAGCGUGCCGACCGCGAUCACAUCGACUUUGGAACCGUUUCCCACGCGCAUCGUCACCUCGUCCUUUGUCAGUGUUUGCUUAAUCCGUAGUCCCUGUUUCGAGUUGCAAAUAUUAGCAACAGAACCAGUAUCAAAUACCCAGGUGCUACUGCAAGCUCUAGUAAGGUACACAUCAAUAACAUAUAUAUCACAUAUACCUUUGUUCACCUUGCCAUCCUUCUUAUCCGCCAAAUACUUGGGGUAGUUCCGCUUCCAGUGACCAGUCUGCUUGCAGUAGAAACACUCAGUUUCAGGCUUAGGUCCAGACUUGGGUUUCUUCUCCUGAGCAGCAACUUGCUUACUGUUCUUCUUGAAGUUCCCCUUCUUCUUCCCUUUACCCUUUUUCUUGAAACUAGUGGUCUUGUUAACCAUCAACACUUGAUGCUCCUUCUUGAUUUCUACCUCCGCAGCUUUCAGCAUUGCGAAGAUCUCGGGAGUAGUCUUGUUCAUCCCUUGCAUAUUAUAGUUCAUCACAAAGCUCUUGUAGCUUGGUGGCAGUGAUUGGAGAAUUCUGUCAAUGAUGCAAUCAUCUGGAAGAUUAACUCCCAUCUGAAUCAAGUGAUUAUUAUACCCAGACAUUUUGAGUAUAUGCUCACUGACAGAACUGUUCUCCUCCAUCUUGCAGCUAUAGAACUUAUUGGAGACUUCAUAUCUCUCAAUCCGGGCAUUUGCUUGAAAUAUUAACUUCAACUCCUGGAACAUCUCAUAUGCUCCAUGACGUUCAAAACGUCGUUGAAGUCCCGAUUCUAAGCCGUAAAGCAUGGCACACUGAACUAUCGAGUAGUCAUCAGCUUUGCUCUGCCAGACGUUCAUAACAUCAGGUAUUGCUCCAGCAGCAGGCCUGGCACCCAGCGGUGCUUCCAGGACGUAAUUCUUCUGAGCAGCAAUGAGGAUAAUCCUCAAGUUACGGACCCAGUCCGUGUAAUUGCUACCAUCAUCUUUCAACUUUGCUUUCUCAAGGAAUGCAUUAAAAUUCAACGGGACAACAGCACGAGCCAUCUAUCUACAAUCAACAUAAACAAGCAAGAUACUAUCAGGUACUAAGUUCAUGAUAAGUUUAAGUUCAAUUAAUCAAAUUACUUAAGAACUCCCACUUAGAUAGACAUCCCUCUAAUCCUCUAAGUGAUCACGUGAUCCAAAUCAACUAAACCAUAACCGAUCAUCACGUGAGAUGGAGUAGUUUUCAAUGGUGAACAUCGUUAUGUUGAUCAUAUCUACUAUAUGAUUCACGUUAGACCUUUCGGUCUCCGUGUUCCGAGGCCAUAUCUGCAUAUGCUAGGCUCGUCAAGUUUAACCUUAGUAUUCUGCGUGUGCAAAAACUGGCUUGCACCCGUUGUAGAUGGACGUAGAGCUUAUCAUACCCAAUCAUCACGUGGUGUCUGGGCACGACGAACUUUGGCAACGGUGCAUACUCAGGGAGAACACUUCUUGAUAAUUUAGUGAGAGAUCAUCUUAUAAUGCUACCGUCAAUCAAAGCAAGAUAAGAUGCAUAAAAAGAUAAACAUCACAUGCAAUCAAUAUAAGUGAUAUGAUAUGGCCAUCAUCAUCUUGUGCUUGUGAUCUCCAUCUCCGAAGCAUCGUCAUGAUCACCAUCGUCACCGGCGCGACACCUUGAUCUCCAUCGUAGCAUCGUUGUCGUCUCGCCAAUCUUAUGCUUCUACGACUAUCGCUACCGUUUAGUGAUAAAGUAAAGCAUUACAUCGCGAUUGCAUUGCAUACAAUAAAGCGACAACCAUAUGGCUCCUGCCAGUUGCCGAUAACUUGGUUACAAAACAUGAUCAUCUCAUACAAUAAAAUUUAGCAUCAUGUCUUGGCCAUAUCACAUCACAACAUGCCCUGCAAAAACAAGUUAGACGUCCUCUACUUUGUUGUUGCAAGUUUUACGUGGCUGCUACGGGCUUAAGCAAGAACCAAUCUCACCUACGCAUCAAAACCACAACGAUAGUUUGUCAAAUAGACUCCGUUUUAACCUUCGCAAGGACCGGGCGUAGCCACACUCGGUUCAACUAAAGUUGGAGAGACAGUCGCCCGCAAGCCACCUAUGUGCAAAGCACGUCGGGGAAACCGGUCUCGCGUAAGCGUACGCGUAAUGUUGGUCCGGGUCGUCUCGUCCAACAAUACCGUUGAACCAAAGUAUGACAUGGCAGUAUGACUUAUAUCGCCCACAACUCACUUGUGUUCUACUCGUGCAAAUAACAUCAAACCAUAAAACCUAGGCUCGGAUGCCACUAUUGGGGAACAUAGUAAUUUCAAAAAAAUUCCUAUGCACACGCAAGAUCAUGGUGAUGCAUAGCAACGAGAAGGGAGAGUGUUGUCUACGUACCCACGCAGACCGACUGCGGAAGCAUUGACACAACAUAGAGGAAGUAGUCGUACGUCUUCCCGAUCCGACCGAUCCAAGCACCGUUACUCCGGCACCUCCGAGUUCUUAGCACACGUACAGCUCGAUGACGAUUCCCGGGCUCCGAUCCAGCAAAGCGUCGGGGAAGAGUUCCGUCAGCACGACGGCGUGGUGACGAUCUUGAUGUUCUACCGACGCAGGGCUUCGCCUAAGCACUACAACGAUAUGAUCGAGGUGGAAUAUGGUGGCAGGAGGCACCGCACACAGCUAAGGAACGAUCUCAAGGAUCAACUUGUGUAUCUAGAGGUGCCCCCCUGCCCCUGUAUAUAAAGGAGCCAAGGGGGAGGGGCUGGCUGGCCAAGGAGGGUGCGCCAGGAGAGUCCUACUCCCUCUGGGAGUAGGAUUCCCCCCCCCCCCCAAUCCUAGUUGGAAUAGGAUUCCUUAAGGGGGGGGGAAGAGAGAGAGGGGGGCCGGCCACCUCUCCUAGUCCUAAUAGGACUAGGGGAGGGGGGAGGCGCGCGGCCACCUUGGGCUGCCCCUUUCUUCUUUCCACUAAAGCCCACUAAGGCCCAUAUAGCUCCCGGGGGGUUCCGGUAACCUCCCGGUACUCCGGUAAAAUCCCGAUUUCAUCCGGAACACUUCCGAUAUCCAAACAUAGGCUUCCAAUAUAUCAAUCUUUAUGUCUCGACCAUUUUGAGACUCGUCGUCAUGUCCGUGAUCACAUCCGGGACUCCGAACUAACUUCGGUACAUCAAAAUGCAUAAACUCAUAAUAACUGUCAUCGUAACGUUAAGCGUGCGGACCCUACGGUUCAAGAAUAAUGUAGACAUGACUGAGACACAUCUCCGGUCAAUAACCAAUAGUGGGACCUGGAUGCCCAUAUUGGCUCCUACAUAUUCUACGAAGAUCUUUAUCGGUCAGACCGCAUAACAACAUGCGUUGUUCCCUUUGUCAUCGGUAUGUUACUUGCCCGAGAUUCGAUCGUCGGUAUCCAAUACCUAGUUCAAUCUCGUUACCGGCAAGUCUCUUUACUCGUUCUGUAAUACAUCAUCCCGCAACUAACUCAUUAGUUGCAAUGCUUGCAAGGCUUGUGUGAUGUGCAUUACCGAGAGGGCCCAGAGAUACCUCUCCGACAAUCGGAGUGACAAAUCCUAAUCUUGAAAUACGCCAACCCAACAUCUACCUUUGGAGACACCUGUAGAGCUUCUUUAUAAUCACCCAUUUACGUUGUGACGUUUGGUAGCACAGAAAGUAUUCCUCCGGCAAACGGGAGUUGCAUAAUCUCAUAGUCAUAGGAACAUGUAUAAUUCAUGAAGAAAGCAAUAGCAACAUACUAAACGAUCGGGUGCUAAGCUAAUGGAAUGGGUCAUGUCAAUCAGAUCAUUCAACUAAUGAUGUGACCUCGUUAAUCAAAUAACAACUCUUUGUUCAUGGUUAGCAAACAUAACCAUCUUUGAUUAACGAGCUAGUCAAGUAGAGGCAUACUAGUGACACUCUGUUUGUCUAUGUAUUCACACAUGUAUUAUGUUUCCGGUUAAUACAAUUCUAGCAUGAAUAAUAAACAUUUAUCAUGAUAUAAGGAAAUAAAUAAUAACUUUAUUAUUGCCUCUAGGGCAUAUUUCCUUCACUACAAUGGGAAACCGAGCGGGAAGGGGAGAGUCAGAUAGGAAAACCGAAGUUUUUGUCGUGGGAUGGGGGUUUUGUGUUGCGCCCUUGGGUUGGAGAUAACAAAUGGCGGAUAGUCCGGACAAUGACAUUUCUCCCCCACAUAUGAUCUGGAUUUCGGAAAGUCUGGACUGUCCAGACGGUUGAAUUUUGGGGAGCCCAUUGGGCACCGGACGUAUGAGGAAGAAAUGAGUUUCGAAUUUAAAGACGACUUUAAUCAUUUAUUUAAUUCAUUUAUGUGUGUUGUAGCCCGUAGCAACGCACGGGCAUUCUACUAGUAUAAGUUAUAACUCUGCUAUACUGCCAAUUUCUUGCAUGCUCAUAUGUAUGUUGUAUGGCAUUUAAUUUCUUUUGGUGGUCCUUUCCCUCUUUGAAUUGAAUGCCAACAUAGUAGAACAUGUACUGCAUAAGGUUCAGCAGGCUGGGUCUAACAAGGUAAAUCAUUAUUUCUCAUGCGGAAGUUUGCAGGAUUAUGCACACACAUUGUUUCGUUUCGUUGACCAUAGAACAUGAUUUGCUCUUUAUUUUCUCUCCUAUGCCUAAGGCUUUGAGCUCCUUCGAAAUCAUUACUAUAAUGAAAAGGAUGAGAAGUGAGUCCUUUAGACAUGGAACACACAUAAGUUCUUUGAAGAUCAUUUUAUUUGGGAUGUCAAUAACAGUUCUACCAAUUUGCAUCAAUUGUUUAUAUGCUAUACAAACCAUCACUUGGCCCUCUAUUGUCAUUAAUCAGAUGCACGGAAUUUGUGAAUAUAUAAAUAUUCUGGCUGAAGAUAGAACCAACUUGUGAUGGUUCCAUGUGGUACAUAUAACUGAAAUUGGUCAGAUGUUUCUAUAUUUCUUUCGUUAAGACAUCUUUUUUCCUUUGUUAAGAUGUGUCUAAGAUGGGCGGGCGCCGCAACGCGCGCCUUUAUGAUCUAGUACAGCGUGAUGGCGCUGGUGCGCAACUGUUGGUGCAGCACAUUCACCAUUAAUUAUAUUGUUUUUAACACAGUAUAAACGUAAGUGCUCAUAUAUUUAUACGCGCAUAUAUUCACCCCUUGUGAAUGCACGUACGCACACUCUAUCCCUAUGAGCACCUCUGAAAGACUGAGUUAGUAUAUUAUCUAAAUUUUACAAAGUCACCAUAGGCGCCUAUCCGGGAUAAAUGCAAGCAUCAUGACUUGAAUUCUGAUGGGCUGGGGAUAUCACUGUGCUCCUAACCAUUCAACCACAUAUUGGUUCACCGGGACUAAUCAUACCGGUGUAGCCAAGUCUUAUUUAAAAACUAUGGACCAAACUUCAUCCCAUAUAGUUGAACAACACUAGGGGUAGAAACGGAUCGGAUGCGGAUCGGAUAGUGCUCUUGCCACUUCCAUUUUCAUAUUUUCAAAACGAAUACGAAUUCGAAUACGGAUGUUAUCGGAUACGGAUGCGGCUCGGAUAUUAUUCAAAUACGGAUACGUAUCGGAUAUUUUCUUGAUUCGGAACGGAUACGAAUAAUAUCAACAUAUUGCUUAAGUAAAUCAGUCGAUAGCUAUGUGAACUGAAAUAAUCAACUUGUGACAUACAAUAAGUCAAUGAUAAAUAGGUUUAUGAAUAAAUACUAUUGUAAUGCAUAAUAAUUUAUAAGUUUAAUCAUAUAAAGAGUAAAAUUUGACCACUUAUUUGGCUUUUAUGUUGGAUAAUUGGAAUAUUGAGUCUAGAAAUUUGAAAAUUACCUCCCAUAAUCUUAUUCGGAUACGGAUAUAUCCACUUUCAUAUCCAUGUUUGUCUCAAAAUCUCCUACCAUAUUUUAUUUUUUAUUUGUUUAAUAAAUUCGGAUACGGAUAAUUUCCAUUUCCAUUUUGGUUCGGAUGCGGAUGUUUCGGAUACAAAUAGGCAUUUUCUCGAAUACGAAUAUCGGAUAUUUCGGAUUAUCCGCUAUCAAUUUCCACCCCUAAACAACACGCUGUUGCGGUCUGAUGUAGUUGCUACUCAUUUGUUUCUAAAGUAACUUGUAAUCAACUACUUCUUCCGUUUUGAAAUAGAUGACUCAACUUUAUACAAAGUUAGUAUAAAGUUGAGUCAUCUAUUUUGGAACGGAGGGAGUACUUCUGAUGAGAACAAAUCAAUAAAGUACCUUGUAAUCAAACUACUGAGAUAAUUUGUACCUUCUCUCCGUACCCAUGUAUAAUCAAGUAGCCUCUUAAUGUACUUUUCCUUUUUCUUCUUUGAAGCAAGUUUAUGAAGAAAAGAAUGAUGUAUUCUGAUCUCCAUGAAGCAACCAAUUAGCUCGUCCUCUCUAUAAAAACAAUUCUUCAUGAUACCGAAGAUUCUCAAUAUCUAGCCUAACAAAAAGAAGGUUAUCAAUAUUUGAAGAUCUUUUUUAUCCCUAAUCUCCCCGUCAGAUCACUUUGUCUCCAUUUCUGAAGGUCUUUUUUUAGCUUCGAUAUCCUCUUAUUUGGGCCUUUCAGAACCUCCAGAUCCCUCUGGUGUAGAUCUUUAUGAACAGCCUUGGUACAAUCAGGCAAGGGUGGCCUAGCUUGCUGGAUCCCAAGCCAAUUGGACUACCGCAUUGACGGUUUCUUCACACAACCAACGGGCUUCAAACUAUUUUCGGGCCUUCGAUUGUUGAGACAAAACAAAUUUUAAAAAAAUAUGAAGGAAAAUAGAUCAAUGGUCUGAAUGGACACGGUGCUCAUGAACCAACGCAUAUGGCAAUUUAUCCGCACACGCCUCAUUACUUGGUGAUGCCCUGGCUCCAGGUAAACUGAUCACCAAUAACAGUGGUCUGUUGAAGUCCACACAACCUCUGAAAUUAUGCAUCAAUUGUUGAGGUCGAACAUUACCACCCUCCUUCUCACUUGCAACCAAUCUCUCAUUAAAAUCACAGUAACUAACCAUGGACCAGCCGCAUUCCGUUGCGCGAGUAUGUCCAGGACAGGUGCUUCCUAUCCCAAGUUGGUUGUCCAUAAUAUCCUGUCAAGCGCCAUGAAGCAUCAUUUUCACCCAUAACAAUUGCAUCAAUAAAUUUUUCUAAAGAAUAGUUCAACACCACUUUAUUAGAUUGGUUAUAAAAAAGGACAAGGUUCCCCGAGCGACCAUCACUCUUUUUUUUUCAAGAAACUUCCAAUCUAUUUAUCGUCAAUCAUGGUGGUACAACAAACACCAGAAAUAAUAAAAAUUACAUCGAGAUAUGUAGACCACCUAGCGACGACUACAAGCACUGAAGCGAGCCGAAUGCGCGCAGUCGUCAUUGCCCCUCCCACACACGCAUACCUUACCACUAUGAGUACCUCCGACAAACUGAGGCGGCAUAUCAUCUUGAGAUGGACGAAGUCACCAAAGGCGUCUCGUAGUCGACGGGAACGUCUCCUCCCAUUAAACGCGCAUCGCAGAAAAUCCUGAAAUAAAUUCAGCAAUAAAUGUGAGCAAAAGGAUAUGAACUCUGGUGGACUGGGGAUACCACUGUCCACCUAACCAUUCAACCACAGAUUGGUAUUGCUAUGUACAAUUUGGGGUCAUGAUGACCGGAUAGCAGAUUGUGGAGCUUGUAUUUUUUUGUUUCUAUAAUAGCCGCAUGACCUGAAAGGUUUCUUUCCAUCCGGGGCAAUUAUCGUGUCAGUUAAUGGGGGGUGGGGGUGGAUAAACUGGUCACACGAUGCAUAGUUUUAACUUUCUACACCGUGAUAAAAUAAAAGGAAAUGAUUUUCUUCACCUGGCCUAUCCAUCGCGGGGCAUCCGCCGCCUCUAGUGUGCAGACGCGUGUCCUAUGUGGACCCUAUGCGUCGCUCUAUAUUUUUUCUUAUUCCCACCCAUGGUUGACCUUUGUUGAAGAAAAAGCUACAACAAGACCUCUGUUGCAAAAGUUUAUAUAUGCAGAAGACCUCUAUUUUUGCAAAAAAAAAAAGGAUUCUACAACAUGACCUAUGUUGCAAUGAUAGGCAAUAAAGAAAAAGAACAAAAGAUUAAACAAUUUGCAACAACUCUCUUGUUGCAGAAGGCAAAGCACAAUAAGGCUCAUGUUAGAUAGAUCGGAGGAAGAGAAAAAUGGUUUGAGGCUUUUUACGGUUAGUCCGUAGUUCGAAGCCUUUUGCAACAAAUCCUCUGUUGUAGAGAGACGGGUGCAACAACAUGCUUGUUGCAACUUCAUUUGCUCAUGUGAAGAAGAUGUAGUGACUUUCUUUGUCUUAGUCCGACGGCUAUGGAGGUGGACGAUCUUUUCCAUUGCUUAAACCGGCCAACACCUAGUGCAGCCCAUAAAAUAAUUCCCGGUGCCUUUCAAGCCUAUGCAACUCGUAUGGAACACACUUUCUACUCUCUUGAUGUAUGGAUUGUCUCAUCGUUUCUAGAGGAAAAUAAUUUGAAAUUGAGAGGCACGGAAGAGAUUGAUGUUUAUCAGUUGAGAAUUGAUGACAUGAAGGUGCCCCGCUGCCCACCGCAUUGCAUGGUUUUGUGUGGGCCCAUAAUAUUUCAGCACCUAUAAAUGAGCUCAGUUUGGGCAUCAUGACAUUUAUGUGUGUCAAACCACAUAUUUGUCGCGUCAUAGGCUCUCACCGAUUCCACGCCUCCCAACUAUAAACAUUCACGAAGAAUUAAAGCAUACAACCAGCCUACUAUAUCAAGUUGUGCUGAGAGCAGAGCAUCUCCAAUAACUGCCCUAUAAUAGGGCACCAAAAUUUGCUUGAAGUAAAAUUUGGGAUACAAAAAAGUGUUUUUAGGGCACGAGAAAGUGAGUGUCUCCAAAAGUUGCCCUAAAAUGGGGUAUUGAAUAGGGCACCAUUGCUCCAACAACUGCCAUAAAAAUAGGGCAACCGCACCACAUCUUUCUUCUCCACAUAUGGAUAGAAAUUAAACUUUGCAAGAUUUCCUUGAGUGUCUUCUCCACCAACAGCUGCUCACAAAAUUCAAUUACUGAACUUGAGUGUCUUCUCCACCAACAGCUGCUCAAAAAAUUCAACUACUAAAACCAAAUCUAACAGGAAGACCGACAAAAUCAAAGUAGAUACUAAAUUUGAGUGUCUUCUUUUAAUUUCUUUGUAUUGCACAGAACUACACACCAAAAUGGCAUGGGAUACAAUUUCAGCGAAUAACAAACGAAAUUGACAAGAAGUUCCUUUGUAACUUUCUUCAGUAAAAGGAACAGUGAAAGUCUGAACUUUCUGAAAACUAACACCUGCAUCUUGGCCUCUUACACUUUCGUCAGAAAAAGGAAAGCUGGAAACUGAACUUUACUAAUGAAUUACAUCGGGACUAGCAGCGGCGCAUUCAAGCAGCACCUCCACGACCCGUACAAACUCCAACAACCCAUUCUGCAGCACCACCACACAAACCACUAACUAGCCAUCAGGCUUUCAUUUAGCUUUGUACUCUCUCUGUAAACUAAUAUAAGAUUAUUUAGGUCACUAGAGGGAAUAUAUGAUAAAUGUGUUUGCUUUCGCAAAAAAAAAAAAUAUGAUAAAUGUGUUUGGAAGAGGGCUAACUUGCUUUAUUUGGAAUCGCCAAGGUGAAUCUAACUUCCUUUUUUCUUGGCAAAACAAAAUAACUGCACUAUCGUGCUACAAUCAGCAACAGAAUUGGUCACUACCCAUGCCAUGCAAUUCAGCUCAAUUCACUCUAUUAAAAAACUUCAAGUCAUAGCACGAGAAAUUUCCACUUUAAAGGAAUCGAAACAUCCUCACCACGCAACCCAGUAGAAAUGAAACAAUCCUACAUGCUCAACCCACAACAACGGAAGCUCCGAGCCGCACUAGCCCCGGGUCACCGCAAUUGCAUUUGAGAACUUAGCCAUGGCCUCGACAACAACAUUGAAGAAGGCGUCGGAGCCAAAGCCCUUUGUCUGGAUGUGCUAGCAAAGCUCCGCCACCACCCAUGGAGCUCGCUCAGCUUGGAUGGGUGGCCGGAGCCGAAUCUCGCAGGGAUAGAGAUCAAAUCGGACCUAGGGAAGAGGGGACGAGGUGAGGGGCGCUAGAGUUGGGGGAGGCAUCAACCGCAGUGAUGCUCGCAAGAGUAGAGGCAGGAAGGGCACGUGGGAAAACACCCGACCGACGAUUUUGCGACAGCGGCCCAAGUGUAGAGUUGGAUCAGCCGACGGUGAUUUGCAGGUGUAGAGGCAGGAAGGGUGCGUGGAAAACGCCCGACCGGCGGUUUUGCGACAGUACUUUAUGCUGUAUUUUUGGGCAGCGCUGGAAAUUUUGGAGCAAAUUUUACAUUAAGGGCAGGUAUUGGAGCAGUGUUUCUGGCCCCAAAUGCCCUAAAUACGUUAUGGGGAGAUUCUCUGAGUUGAUGGGGAGUUUAGGUGUUUACACACACUCCAAAUCACAAGUCUUACAACGGUUGUUUCAGGCCCUAAAUAAACACACAAAAUCUGUCAGGCAGAUUAACGUCUUACACCCACACAAACGGAAGCAAUUUGCUUGGCUUUACAUAUAUCCAAGGUAACAUUUCUAGAUCUGUUGGAGAAGCUCGUAUACAUUGGGUGCAUGUUGCAUGGAGAAGCUCAUACAAGUUAAAUGUGCAUGCUGAAUUUGGUAUCCAAGUCGAUCAGCUCAGGUACAAUGAGGAAUAUUACUUAGUUCCACAGUAUCUCUAACAAUGGUUGGAGAAGCUACACAUUUAAAUCUCAGACAUGCAUGUAUUUCGGAACGGAGGCAGUAGUUUUUUACAGAAUGUGACAUUUGGAACUAUAGACUGUUCUUUUCAACUACUCAGAAGGCUAACUAAAAUUUCAGAAACAUUUAUGAGAAAGAAAUAGAACAGCAUCACAUCAAAAAAAAAAGAUGGACGCAGGGCAGAAUUACAUAUAUCAAGAGUACUGCAAAAUUAAUAGCUGCAUAAAAUUCAGUCACAAACACAUAUAAUCCCACAUUACAUAAAACUCAGUCUUGGAACAAAACCAGACUAGCAUUAAACAGCUAAAUUGGACAGAACACAGGUAAGACAGCUUCCACAGCCAUAGCAGCAAACACGCCAGGAAUCACUAGACCAUGCCGUCCUCCCUCGAUGCCUGGCAGCCUGGAUGUAGGAUGAUGCUUCCCCUGCUCCAAGGCGCCUACUUGGAUCGCUGCCUCAUCUUUCGGCGCUUCCUCUUGAGCCUCCUCAUCCUCUUCUUCUUCCACUGCAAAUUUAAGUAACCGCACAGUUCAUCAGCACAAAUUGCGUAGUACUACUCUAGUAGAUGCAUGGCCAAAUAACAAGAAAGUACAAUUUGUUUUGGAAUCAGAAGAUUUGAGUGUUUCAUUGGAUAUCAUCACGUGAUUUUCAGAAACACGGACCAAUUGUUCUUCAUCAUUUCCCAAAGACUGACAAUGUUGAAAAGGCAAAUAGGAAACAACCAAACUAAGAUAUCUAAAGAACUAGCUAAGCAAAGUAGAGAUCUGCAGUCGGUUUGACAUUCAGAAUGAGUAGGAGGAUUUUAUCAUCAAAUGGAUCAGACGCCAAUAGUCAUCCUCAUCAUGCCAACCGACGCAAUUGAACGAAAGAAAGAACAAAUCUAGAAAGAAACACUGGCAAAGAAAACACUAUUCUCUCAGACAAAUGCCUCGAUUGUCCACAUGGUUUUAUAGAAUGGAUUACAUCGGACUCGUCAUAUGUUUUCAUCAUCACAGAGAACUAUAAACAAACAUGCGCAAAAAAUAUCAACUCAGUCAACAGAAACUACAUCCUAGAAUCUCUGAGAACAGGCAAAUCGAACUAUAAUAGCAGGUUCUCUCAGACAAAUUUGCCUCAUUUUUGUCCCCACGGUUGAAUGGAAUGGAUUGGAUCGGACAUCUAAUCAGUGUUGAUCAUCACAGAGAACCACUAAUUACGACAUCGAGCAACAGCAACAGCAGGAACGAAAGCUCGAUAAACACUAGCACAUGCCCAGAUCUACCGCGGUCGCGAAGCAGCUAAUAGGAGAGAAGGUAGACGAAGGGCAGUACGAACCUUGGCCCUCAUCGCGGCGGCGGAGUCGGCCUCGCUCUCCUUUUCGCGGCGGCGGCGGCGGAAGGGUGUGGACGAUCCCGAUCUCCGUAGAUUGUUGGCGGCGGGGGCUCUGGACUCGUACUUUAUAGGGGUGGGGUGCUGGGAAGGGGGGAAACCCUAGCGGGUGGACGGCUCGGAUCAGCCGCUGAGCGGCGUUCUGAUCCGAUUUGGUCGGUCUCUGGUUCGCAGCCCUAAUGGGCCUUCAAACCAACGUCUCGGCCCACGGUCACAUCUAAGAUGAUGGGCUUCCCUUCACCUGUUCUUAAACUGGGCCUCCUCCUCGCUUGCUUGACUCGGCCUGAUCGGUUCUGCUAAAAAGAAACAAGAAUUUCUCAUCUCAGAACUAAAAAACAAGAUGUUCUCCAUGUGUUGAUGAGGAGCUAGUUGAACGACUUGCAGGAUGCAGAUCAUGUAUCAUGUUCCACCACUGGCAAGGUUUUUAGGAGACCGCUUGUCGCACUUCAUGAGAAGAUCUUUCAGAGAGUGAAACAGGGGAGGCAAGCAUGCACUGGAGGGAAGCUCUUUUUGGAGCUAGAUGAAUAGCAACUUGCCGACUUCAACAGCUCGUUUAUACACACGUCAUGGAGACAAAAGAAUUGAUGAAAAUGCACAAACAUGACGGUAAUAACUUCAAAAAGAUGAUCACAGCUGCGCACCUCAGAAUUCAUAAAUCGCAUAAGAUUAACUCGGACAAACAACAACUACCACGAACCGAGCACUCCCCUCGGUCGCUCCCGCGGGCGACCAG